RNAcentral lists this ribosomal RNA (506 nucleotides) under uncultured bacterium. RNAcentral's name for it is "partial 16S ribosomal RNA". It matches the Rfam family "Bacterial small subunit ribosomal RNA", at positions 29 to 523 of the family's 1533-position model. The record is from RNAcentral.
AGUGAACGCUGGCGGUAGGCCUAACACAUGCAAGUCGAACGGCAGCACAGAGGAGCUUGCUCCUUGGGUGGCGAGUGGCGGACGGGUGAGGAAUACAUCGGAAUCUACUCUGUCGUGGGGGAUAACGUAGGGAAACUUACGCUAAUACCGCAUACGACCUACGGGUGAAAGCGGGGGACCUUCGGGCCUUGCGCGAUGGAAUGAGGCGAUGGCGGAUUAGCUAGUUGGCGGGGUAAAGGCCCACCAAGGCGACGAUCCGUAGCUGGUCUGAGAGGAUGAUCAGCCACACUGGAACUGAGACACGGUCCAGACUCCUACGGGAGGCAGCAGUGGGGAAUAUUGGACAAUGGGCGCAAGCCUGAUCCAGCCAUACCGCGUGGGUGAAGAAGGCCUUCGGGUUGUAAAGCCCUUUUGUUGGGAAAGAAAUCCAGCUGGCUAAUACCCGGUUGGGAUGACGGUACCCAAAGAAUAAGCACCGGCUAACUUCGUGCCAGCAGCCGCCGCGG